UACAGAGGGGGCAAGCGUUGUUCGGAAUUACUGGGCGUAAAGGGCGCGUAGGCGGCCUGUUAAGUCGAACGUGAAAUCCCCGGGCUCAACCCGGGAACUGCGUCCGAUACUGGCAGGCUUGAAUCCGGGAGAGGGAUGCGGAAUUCCAGGUGUAGCGGUGAAAUGCGUAGAGAUCAUGAGGAAGACCAGUGGCGAAGGCGGGUCUCUGGACAGUUCCUGACACUGAGGCACGAAGGCCAGGGGAGCAAACGGG
This 253-nucleotide ribosomal RNA is filed under the name uncultured bacterium. Its description in RNAcentral is "partial 16S ribosomal RNA". It matches the Rfam family "Bacterial small subunit ribosomal RNA", at positions 524 to 776 of the family's 1533-position model. The record is from RNAcentral.